This 252-nucleotide ribosomal RNA is filed under the name uncultured bacterium. Its description in RNAcentral is "partial 16S ribosomal RNA". It matches the Rfam family "Bacterial small subunit ribosomal RNA", at positions 524 to 776 of the family's 1533-position model. The record is from RNAcentral.
UACGAAGGGUGCAAGCGUUACUCGGAAUUACUGGGCGUAAAGCGUGCGUAGGUGGUUCGUUAAGUCUGAUGUGAAAGCCCUGGCUCAACCUGGGAAUGGCAUUGGAAACUGGCGACCUAGAGUGCGGUAGAGGGUAGUGGAAUUCCCGGUGUAGCAGUGAAAUGCGUAGAGAUCGGGAGGAACAUCCGUGGCGAAGGCGACUACCUGGACCAGCACUGACACUGAGGCACGAAAGCGUGGGGAGCAAACAGG